UGGCUUGACUAUUCUGGUCUUCAUUCC
This 27-nucleotide non-coding RNA is filed under the name Macaca fascicularis (crab-eating macaque). RNAcentral also lists the same sequence under 1 other name. The record is from RNAcentral. Lineage: Eukaryota; Metazoa; Chordata; Mammalia; Primates; Cercopithecidae.